UUAACCAGUGUGGGGCACCCCAGUUGCUGAGUUGUGAUGUUGAUGUGGGGGCGGGGUCAGAGAGGGAACAAUGGCAUCUGCUCUGCUCUCCGUUGGACCUCAGUCCCUUCCACCAC
Long non-coding RNA from Phyllostomus discolor (pale spear-nosed bat), 116 nucleotides. RefSeq lists it as uncharacterized. The transcript has 3 exons. NCBI's taxonomy places the organism in Eukaryota, Metazoa, Chordata, Mammalia, Chiroptera, Phyllostomidae. The record is from RefSeq and is a predicted model, not a curated record.